This 459-nucleotide ribosomal RNA is filed under the name uncultured bacterium. RNAcentral's name for it is "partial 16S ribosomal RNA". It matches the Rfam family "Bacterial small subunit ribosomal RNA", at positions 339 to 795 of the family's 1533-position model. The record is from RNAcentral.
CUACGGGUCGCUCCAGUAAGGAAUAUUGCGCAAUGGAGGCAACUCUGACGCAGCCAUGCCGCGUGCAGGAAGAAGGCCUUAUGGGUCGUAAACUGCUUUUAUUUAGGAAUAAACCCCCGAACGUGUUCGGGGCUGAAGGUACUAAACGAAUAAGCACCGGCUAACUCCGUGCCAGCAGCCGCGGUAAUACGGAGGGUGCAAGCGUUAUCCGGAUUUAUUGGGUUUAAAGGGUGCGCAGGCGGGCUAUUAAGUCAGUGGUGAAAUCCCGGGGCUCAACUCCGGAACUGCCAUUGAUACUGAUAGUCUUGAGUUUGGUUGAAGUGGGCGGAAUGUAGCAUGUAGCGGUGAAAUGCAUAGAUAUGCUACAGAACACCAAUCGCGAAGGCAGCUCACUAAGCCAAAACUGACGCUCAUGCACGAAAGCGUGGGGAUCAAACAGGAUUAGAUACCCUCGUAGUC